This 460-nucleotide ribosomal RNA is filed under the name uncultured bacterium. RNAcentral describes it as "partial 16S ribosomal RNA". It matches the Rfam family "Bacterial small subunit ribosomal RNA", at positions 338 to 795 of the family's 1533-position model. The record is from RNAcentral.
CCUACGGGAGGCUGCAGUGAGGAAUAUUGGUCAAUGGGCGCUAGCCUGAACCAGCCAAGUAGCGUGAAGGAUGACUGCCCUAUGGGUUGUAAACUUCUUUUAUAUGGGAAUAAAGUGCAGUAUGUAUACUGCUUUGCAUGUACCUUAUGAAUAAGGAUCGGCUAACUCCGUGCCAGCAGCCGCGGUAAUACGGAGGAUCCGAGCGUUAUCCGGAUUUAUUGGGUUUAAAGGGAGCGUAGGCGGGUUGUUAAGUCAGUUGUGAAAGUUUGCGGCGCAACCGUAAAAUUGCAGUUGAUACUGGCAGCCUUGAGUACAGUAGAGGUAGGCGGAAUUCGUGGUGUAGCGGUGAAAUGCUUAGAUAUCACGAAGAACUCCGAUUGCGAAGGCAGCCUGCUGGACUGUAACUGACGCUGAUGCUCGAAAGUGUGGGUAUCAAACAGGAUUAGAUACCCUUGUAGUC